UUGGAGGGCAAGUCUGGUGCCAGCAGCCGCGGUAAUUCCAGCUCCAAUAGCGUAUAUUAAAGUUGUUGCAGUUAAAAGGCUCGUAGUUGAAUUUCGGGAUCAAAUUGUCGGUCGUGCCUCGGUACGCACUGGUAUUAUUGGUUCCUACCUUCUGAAGAACCGCGAUGUCAUUAAUUUGGUGUCGUGGGGAAUCAGGACUGUUACUUUGAAAAAAUUAGAGUGUUUAAAGCAGGCUUACGCUUGAAUACAUUAGCAUGGAAUAAUGAAAUAGGACGUUUGAUUCUAUUUUGUUGGUUUCUAGGAUUGACGUAAUGAUUAAUAGGGAUAGUUGGGGGCAUUAGUAUUCAAUUGUCAGAGGUGAGAUUCUUGGAUUUAUUGAAGACUAACUACUGCGAAAGCAUUUGCCAAGGAUGUUUUCAUUAAUCAAGAACGAAAGUUAGGGGAUCGAAGACGAUCAGAUACCGUCGUAGUCUUAACCAUAAACUAUGCCGACUAGGGAUCGGAUGAUGUUAAUUUUUUAAUGACUCAUUCGGCGCCUUACGGGAAAC
This 548-nucleotide ribosomal RNA is filed under the name uncultured Glomeromycotina. RNAcentral's name for it is "SSU rRNA". It matches the Rfam family "Eukaryotic small subunit ribosomal RNA", at positions 548 to 1098 of the family's 1831-position model. Lineage: Eukaryota; Fungi; Glomeromycota. The record is from RNAcentral.